Long non-coding RNA from Penaeus monodon (black tiger shrimp), 166 nucleotides. RefSeq lists it as uncharacterized. NCBI's taxonomy places the organism in Eukaryota, Metazoa, Arthropoda, Malacostraca, Decapoda, Penaeidae. The record is from RefSeq and is a predicted model, not a curated record. The transcript is spliced from 3 exons.
AAGCAUGGCAUACAGAUCAUUUCUCGUGGCCUUGGUGAUCGCCUCUCUGAUUGUCUCCAUGGCCGCCGCGCAGCCGCCUCCCAUAUGGACGCUUAAUGAAGGAGGCAAGCCCUCGAUUGAAGGCUUGCCAUAAAUUUCAUUUAUGAUAAUAAAAUCAUGUACUGUA